This is a long non-coding RNA of Hemicordylus capensis (graceful crag lizard), 514 nucleotides long. RefSeq lists it as uncharacterized. The record is from RefSeq and is a predicted model, not a curated record. The transcript has 2 exons. Lineage: Eukaryota; Metazoa; Chordata; Lepidosauria; Squamata; Cordylidae.
AAAGGAGCUCUUUGCAGCUUGUCUGCUGCCUCGAUUGCCGGCCAGGAGAACAAGCUGGAGAGCCGGCGAAGAGGGCAAGUGGGAUUCUUUUUCACUUUUAUAUUCAACAUGAGUACCCUCACCCAUGGGGAGUGCACUGGGUUCUUAAGGGUGCUGCUUACAGAUAUCAUGGCACAAAGAAAACAUAUGGAGAGGAGCACUUCAAAAAGAAACACACGAAGGAACAAGGACAGAAUGUUGGACUGCUUUUGAUCCUCGGCAACAUCUGUACAAUGUUGCAUAACAGUGGGUUGCCUCUAUAUUAUAUGAUUUCCUAUGGCUUGCUAGUUAGUCAGCGGAACAGUCCAGAACUCCAAACUAGGACUUCAAGCCACUCUUCCUCCAUCCAAUCAGACAUCAAAUACUGCAAGUUAUUAUCUGAUUAUUCCUAUAAGAAAGAUUCAUGUUGAUUCACUAACCUUUUAAUUGAACACAACUUAGUUCACUUUGCAUUAAAGUCUAACUUUGAGACCAU